This is a long non-coding RNA of Salvia miltiorrhiza (redroot sage), 472 nucleotides long. RefSeq lists it as uncharacterized. Lineage: Eukaryota; Viridiplantae; Streptophyta; Magnoliopsida; Lamiales; Lamiaceae. The record is from RefSeq and is a predicted model, not a curated record. The transcript has 2 exons.
ACUAUCACAGAGUGCAGCCCCCCUCUUCACCCCUCGCCCCUCUUUUGUACAUGGUGAUGAAAGAAAAUGGUGUUUGGCAGUGAUGAUUAGAUUACUAAUCCCAGCUCUAUGAGACCUUCAUUUUGUAUGGAGGUCAGGGACAAUACUCUUUUCUCACGUCUCGUCUGAGCCGCUCCAUUUUUUUCUUUCUCAUCAUUAUCUUGUUUUUAAUUUUCAUCAAUUAUUUUAUUUUUCACUCUCUUUCCAUUAUUUUGAUCGCCAGUAAAAAAAUCUCCCCUUUUCAAAUGCGUUUUUAUUUUCAUUUUCAAUUUCAUUUCUGCAUUUUUAAUUUAAUUUAUACACACCAGUUAAUGCAAUUUUCCUAUCUGCGCCGCAAUUAUAUUUUCUUUUUAAUUAUAGUCAUCGGAAAUUACAUGUUGGAAGCUUUCUUCAAAUUCUUAAAUACUCCAAUAUAUGGAGACUAAAGGUAAUU